This 22-nucleotide ribosomal RNA is filed under the name Trophotylenchulus floridensis. RNAcentral describes it as "partial 28S ribosomal RNA". Lineage: Eukaryota; Metazoa; Nematoda; Chromadorea; Rhabditida; Tylenchulidae. The record is from RNAcentral.
GCGACCUGAACUCAGGCGAGAU